AUUGAACGCUGGCGGCAGGCCUAACACAUGCAAGUCGAACGGUAACAGGAAGCAGCUUGCUGCUUCGCUGACGAGUGGCGGACGGGUGAGUAAUGUCUGGGAAACUGCCUGAUGGAGGGGGAUAACUACUGGAAACGGUAGCUAAUACCGCAUAACGUCGCAAGACCAAAGAGGGGGACCUUAGGGCCUCUUGCCAUCGGAUGUGCUCAGAUGGGAUUAGCUAGUAGGUGGGGUAACGGCUCACCUAGGCGACGAUCCCUAGCUGGUCUGAGAGGAUGACCAGCCACACUGGAACUGAGACACGGUCCAGACUCCUACGGGAGGCAGCAGUGGGGAAUAUUGCACAAUGGGCGCAAGCCUGAUGCAGCCAUGCCGCGUGUAUGAAGAAGGCCUUCGGGUUGUAAAGUACUUUCAGCGGGGAGGAAGGGAGUAAAGUUAAUACCUUUGCUCAUUGACGUUACCCGCAGAAGAAGCACCGGCUAACUCCGUG
Molecule: ribosomal RNA, 490 nt
Filed under: uncultured bacterium
Lineage: Bacteria
Description: partial 16S ribosomal RNA
Rfam family: Bacterial small subunit ribosomal RNA
Source: RNAcentral